Molecule: ribosomal RNA, 250 nt
Filed under: uncultured bacterium
Lineage: Bacteria
Description: partial 16S ribosomal RNA
Rfam family: Bacterial small subunit ribosomal RNA
Source: RNAcentral
ACGUAGGGGGCAAGCGUUGUUCGGAUUUACUGGGCGUAAAGGGCGCGUAGGCGGCGUGACAAGUCACUUGUGAAAUCUCCGGGCUUAACUCGGAACGGCCAAGUGAUACUGUCGUGCUAGAGUACGGAAGGGGCAAUCGGAAUUCUUGGUGUAGCGGUGAAAUGCGUAGAUAUCAAGAGGAACACCUGAGGUGAAGACGGGUUGCUGGGCCGAUACUGACGCUGAGGCGCGAAAGCUAGGGUAGCAAACG